Molecule: non-coding RNA, 176 nt
Filed under: Chloroflexota bacterium
Lineage: Bacteria; Bacillati; Chloroflexota
Description: Chloroflexi bacterium (groundwater metagenome) 6S RNA
Rfam family: 6S / SsrS RNA
About the family: E. coli 6S RNA was the first non coding RNA to be sequenced, but its function was unknown until recently. It consists of 184 nucleotides that fold into an extended hairpin structure with a large single-stranded internal bulge. The 6S RNA specifically associates with RNA polymerase holoenzyme containing the sigma70 specificity factor.
Source: RNAcentral
UUGACCCUGCUGUGUUCGUGAUGCCGCACUACCCGGUUUGAGCCAACACUUUUGUGAAGGGGAUGGCAACUUCUGAAGGAAUGCGAUAGGCGUAAGCCAAGGCAGACCGUAAGAGCUUUCCCCGACCUGCUAUAAACAGGCACAAACCCAGCAGCACACGGCAUGGUGGGGCGAUU